UACCAGCACCCCGAGUGGUCGGGACGUUUAUUGGGCCUAAAGCAUCCGUAGCCGGUUCUACAAGUCUUCCGUUAAAUCCACCUGCUUAACAGAUGGGCUGCGGAAGAUACUAUAGAGCUAGGAGGCGGGAGAGGCAAGCGGUACUCGAUGGGUAGGGGUAAAAUCCGUUGAUCCCUUGAAGACCACCAGUGGCGAAGGCGGCUUGCCAGAACGCGCUCGACGGUGAGGGAUGAAAGCUGGGGGAGCAAACCGG
RNAcentral lists this ribosomal RNA (253 nucleotides) under uncultured bacterium. Its description in RNAcentral is "partial 16S ribosomal RNA". It matches the Rfam family "Archaeal small subunit ribosomal RNA", at positions 474 to 727 of the family's 1478-position model. The record is from RNAcentral.